GAAGGUGUGCUUGGAAA
RNAcentral lists this ribosomal RNA (17 nucleotides) under Ischnocnema concolor. RNAcentral's name for it is "partial 12S ribosomal RNA". Lineage: Eukaryota; Metazoa; Chordata; Amphibia; Anura; Brachycephalidae. The record is from RNAcentral.